This is a long non-coding RNA of Myotis daubentonii (Daubenton's bat), 669 nucleotides long. RefSeq lists it as uncharacterized. The record is from RefSeq and is a predicted model, not a curated record. Lineage: Eukaryota; Metazoa; Chordata; Mammalia; Chiroptera; Vespertilionidae.
GCUCCCCAGAGAUUUGCUGCUCCAACUCCAGCGUGUCAUCCUCCUCGUUACUAUUCUAAUCCUCAUUACAGGGAGAUGUCCUCGCCCUCAAACACAACACCACGCAGCGCUGUUACACAGCCCUGCGGGAGACAGGGCAUUUUCUGAGCUGCCGGCGAGAGCAGUCAGAGCAUGGGCGGGGGGAGGUGGGGGAGUUGACGCCUCUGGAGUUUCUUGCGAGGGGGGUGCAGCCCCUUCCGGAUGUCAGCUUUUUCUCUCCUCUGUCCUCCAGCUCCUAUUAUUAUCCUCACCAAGGAAGAUGCAGCUGACUGUUUACUCUAGGCCUGCGCCUGCCACCAACUCGUCCAGAGACUUCAGAGCCAGCCCUGCCCUCCAGCUCAUGCUCUUUGCAGCCAGGCACCUGCGGCCGUGCUGGGCACACAGGUUCCCACUGAAAAGGCACGCGUGGCCCAGCUGGGUGUGGCUCAGCGGUUGAGCUUCAACCCAGGAACCAAGAGGUCACCGGUUCGAUUCCCGGUCAGGGCAUAUGCCCAGGAUGUGGGCUUGAUCCCCAGAAGCGGGUGUGCAGGAGGCAGCCAAUCGAUGAUUCCCUCUCAUCUUUUAUGUUUCUGUCUCUCUCCCUUCCUCUCUGAAAUCAAUAAAAAUAUAGAUGUAUAAUUUUAAAAGGCA